GACGAACGCUGGCGGCGUGCCUAACACAUGCAAGUCGAACGGUGAAGAGAGGCUUUUGCUCUUCUUCGGUGAGGUGCGAGUGGGUGAGUCACGUGUAUGUACCCUGCCUUGUAGCGGGAGAUCACUAUUGGAGACGUUAUCUAACACCGUAUAAGAUUGUGCGACACAUGGCACUUAGUACAAAUUGGUAUUUGCUGAACUUCAGGACGGUUCUGCAGUGUAUUGGUUAGUAGGUGAGGUAAAGGCCCAUCUAGGCGUCGAUACAUAGCCGACCUGAGCGGGAGAUCCGCCACACUGGGACUGGGACACGGCCCAGACGCCUACAGGAAGGAGCAAGAGGGAAACUUCGGCAAUAGGGGCAACCCUGACCGAGCAACGCCGCGGGAGGGAAGAAGGUUGUCGGGUCGGAAAGCUCGGUUGUAAGGCAAGAAAGGGUGUGAGAGUGGAAAGUUCACGCUGUGACGGUAGCGUACCAGAAAGCAACGGCUAACUACGUG
This 497-nucleotide ribosomal RNA is filed under the name uncultured bacterium. RNAcentral describes it as "partial 16S ribosomal RNA". It matches the Rfam family "Bacterial small subunit ribosomal RNA", at positions 28 to 507 of the family's 1533-position model. The record is from RNAcentral.